AUGGAUGACUUGAGCUUCCUUGGCAGCGGCCAAAUUCACCAAACCAACACAAUGUAUAGGAUUAUUAAGGAGAUUAUACCGCCUGAUGUUCGAGCGGCACAGGAUCUUCUUAUUGAGUGUUCUAGAGUUCUUCAAUCUUCUGUGUCUGAAUCCAAUGAUGUCUGCAGCCGGGAGGAGAAGAAAACUGUUGCCCCUGAGCAAGAUCUUGGCUUCAAAGAGGUGUAUGCAGUAGCCUACGAGCAGCACAAACUUAAUACUCUGGACUCUCCAAAAGAAAGCAACGGUGGCAAUGAGGCCAAUCCUGACCACCAUCACCAGCAGCAACGGCACCGACAGCGAUUGCACCAGCAACACCAACAAGCGCUGCCGCAGUCCACUUCUUGGCUGUAG
Molecule: ribosomal RNA, 390 nt
Filed under: Triticum aestivum (bread wheat)
Lineage: Eukaryota; Viridiplantae; Streptophyta; Magnoliopsida; Poales; Poaceae
Description: partial small subunit ribosomal RNA
Source: RNAcentral